GAAUCAAAUAAAUUUAUUUCGCGAUCUUAUUUUCCUUAAAAAUAGUUUACUUUUCUUAUUCGGUCAGAAUUUUUAUACGAAAUUUCAAUUCGCUAACAGUUCUAACAGACGCCAUCUUGGUAGGCCAAAAUUGGCUUCAACUUUUUUUACGAAAAACAAUAGAAUACGCUAUCCAGUUAUUAUUUUGAGAUCAGUGACCUCUGUGUUUUAUACAAAAUCUCAAAAACAUUGUUGCAUUUCUGAAUUAAAAUUAUAAACAUGUGGUCCACAACAGUCCGGAAAACUUUUGGGACGAUAAAAAAGUAUUUUAUAAAAGAGUAUUUUAUCGGCCUAAUGUUAACUUCAAAAUUAUGACUUAUAAAGGUCGCCAAUUAGCUGAAUCAGAAAUUAAGAACUUCAUAAAUGAGCUAGAAAACAGUAAAAAUGACGAUUACGAAGAUGGUUAGUGGCAUUAAUGUCUAUCAAAAGCAAAGUUACAAAAUGUCUAGAUUUUGAAAAGAUUCUGAAUCAAUUUAUGUAUGAAAAAUCAAGGAAAAAAAUAUACUAAUUUGGAUGCAUCAAUUGCAAGUUUCCAAAUACAUGCAAAGUAAAAUUGUUGGCGACAUAGCUCAUGUAUUAAAGUCUUCUGUCACAGUUGACUCAGCAAGAAUGAAGACAUCAAUACACUUUUGCAUUAUGGAAUACACAAGUUGGCAGUUCCUCGCCCCACUGCCACCCAAAUACAGGAAAGUAUGCAUGCAUACACAAUUCUCAAAAUUAGAGGGAGUAAUAAAUUUUCGACCUUAAACUGCUUUAGGUUGGCAUCAGAUUACAAUCGGCAAACAUUUUUACAAAGGCUUUACUAUAAAAGAUAAUAUAUAUAUAUAUAU
Molecule: long non-coding RNA, 869 nt
Organism: Hydra vulgaris (swiftwater hydra)
Lineage: Eukaryota; Metazoa; Cnidaria; Hydrozoa; Anthoathecata; Hydridae
Source: RefSeq, a predicted model, not a curated record